This is an unclassified non-coding RNA of Rhinopithecus bieti (black snub-nosed monkey), 201 nucleotides long. It matches the Rfam family "Metazoan signal recognition particle RNA". Rfam says of the family: The signal recognition particle (SRP) is a universally conserved ribonucleoprotein. NCBI's taxonomy places the organism in Eukaryota, Metazoa, Chordata, Mammalia, Primates, Cercopithecidae. The record is from Ensembl.
AUUGAGGAGUUGGAAGAGACCUUUAAGACAGCUGGUCAUUAUGCCUACCGGUGUCCGCACUAAGUUCGGUAUCAAUAUGGUGACCUCCUGGGAGCAGGGGGCCAUCAGGUUGCCUAAGGAUGGGAGAACUGGCCCAGGUCAGAAAGGGUGCAGGUCAGAACUCCCAUACUGAUGGCUAGUGGGACUGUGCCUGGACCACAU